UACAGAGGUGUCAAACGUUGUCCGGAAUUAUUGGGCGUAAAGGGCGCGUAGGCGGUUGGAUAAGUCAGCUGUGAAAUCACCGGGCUCAACCCGGUAAUUGCAUUUGAUACUGUCUAGCUUGAGUUGGGUAGAGGAGGGCGGAAUUCCCGGUGUAGCGGUGAAAUGCGUAGAUAUCGCUUGGAACGCCGACGGUGAAAACAGCUCGCUGGGGGUCUUCUGACGCUGAGACACGAAAGCCAGGGGAGCGAACGGG
Molecule: ribosomal RNA, 253 nt
Filed under: uncultured bacterium
Lineage: Bacteria
Description: partial 16S ribosomal RNA
Rfam family: Bacterial small subunit ribosomal RNA
Source: RNAcentral